AUUGAACGCUGGCGGCAUGCCUUACACAUGCAAGUCGAACGGCAGCAUGCUCUAGCUUGCUAGAUUGAUGGCGAGUGGCGAACGGGUGAGUAAUACAUCGGAACGUGCCCUGUAGUGGGGGAUAACUAGUCGAAAGAUUAGCUAAUACCGCAUACGACCUGAGGGUGAAAGUGGGGGACCGCAAGGCCUCAUGCUAUAGGAGCGGCCGAUGUCUGAUUAGCUAGUUGGUGAGGUAAAGGCUCACCAAGGCGACGAUCAGUAGCUGGUCUGAGAGGACGAUCAGCCACACUGGGACUGAGACACGGCCCAGACUCCUACGGGAGGCAGCAGUGGGGAAUUUUGGACAAUGGGCGAAAGCCUGAUCCAGCAAUGCCGCGUGUGUGAAGAAGGCCUUCGGGUUGUAAAGCACUUUUGUCCGGAAAGAAAUGGCUCUGGUUAAUACCUGGGGUGGAUGACGGUACCGGAAGAAUAAGAACCGGCUAACUACGUG
This 490-nucleotide ribosomal RNA is filed under the name uncultured bacterium. RNAcentral describes it as "partial 16S ribosomal RNA". It matches the Rfam family "Bacterial small subunit ribosomal RNA", at positions 30 to 507 of the family's 1533-position model. The record is from RNAcentral.